CUUAUUCAUUUACUUACCCUUUGUUAAUGCGUUUUGUAACGACACAAAUCAAAACAUAGCUGUUACUUGUUUCAUUUAAUUUUUUCAAGAGUUUACUUUUUAUAACGUCAAUCUAUGAUAAGAUUAAAAGCAGUUACUGCUGAUAUGUUUACAUGUAAUAGGUGAGCAUACUAUCACUAUAUAGUUAUUUGUUUACCUAUCAAAAAAUCUUCCUGUUGUUAUCAAAAAAUGAUAUGAUUGUUUUUAAUUAAUACAACACUGCAUAAUUGAAUUCGAAUAGUACUCGAUUUUUGUCAGGAUUGUUUGCAAGGUUAACAAUGUAUGGAUUUUUCGAAUGUUCCAACUGUAAGUCCCAAUGGGAAAGUGCCAAGGUUUUUCAAAGACCUGGAGCAACAACGUACUGGGGACAAGAGUGCAAGAAAUGUAAGGUCAUGUGCCAGCCAUAUAGAGUGGAGGAGACAAUGUGCUCUCGUUGUGGGGAAGUUGCUAGAACAUGCAAGUGUGACAAGACCCGUCAUACCGACCCAAAUAAACCACAUAUGUCGGCACUUUGUGAGAAAUGUCGCUCGGGCAAUCCGUGUAAAUAACUCUUUGAACGUAACCAUGAAAUCACGUGAUAAGCGCCGGACAAAAAUAAUGGUUACCUCAGCCCCGCCCAUUUUCAAUUUACGCUAAAACUUUUUUAAAUAUAUUGAGACUGCUGAUUAAAAAUCUUGUUUUGUUUUGUUAUGAUGUAUGCACUGGGAUAUUUUAUAAAAUUCAAGCCGACGUUUUGAUGUAUUGCGUGAUGAUUCAUAUAACAGCACCUGACAGAGAAAGUGUGCUUGGUAUGGGUGUAUUGAGUGGAAGUUCAACGAAUUAUGAUAUUUCAAUUGGCAAAAUUUUAUCUUAAUUAUGUAAAGAGUUUAUAUGAUGAAUAAAAAUUGUAUCAUAAUAAUUGUAAAACCAGUUAUAUUUUACAGUGUCAUGUAUGUUGACUUUUGAUAUUCUGUCUGAUUAUGUAAAUUGUCGGCUAUGAUCUAGUGUCAUUUUUUGAAACAUAUAUCAAACUCGUUUUAUAGCUUAUUGAUUACUUCACUAAUAAUAAUCAUUAUUUGACCAUUUUAUCAUGUUUUACGCGUUCAAAAUAUUUUAUCUAAAGUAUUUACCUUUUGUAAUGUAUAUGUACAUUUACAACGAACGCGUACAUUGUAAAAAAGUGUUUGAUAAAAACAGCACAACAAUAUCACGUAUCAGUUAGGAUUGUUUUUAUUUAACAAAAACUUACUUCGAAAUUUUCUGAAAAUAUCCCAUGCAAAUGCUCUUCGCGUAUAAAGUAUUGAAAUAGUCAACUUUAAUGGUGAUAACUAUUUGUCCCUUGUGUUGUAAAAUGACGGUGUAGAAAUGGAUGUAAUGAAAUUCCUUAGGUAAAUUGACCUUCGAAGUCAACGUCGUACAUGUUGAUAUCAAAAACGUAUUUGUAAUUGAUCUUUUUAUUUUAUUAUUUGAUAAAAAUAUAGAUCAAAAGGGUUUUCAUCUAUUCCAGUUAAGAAAUAUUAUCUAAAAGCCAUAUAUGAUAAGAAUGAAUUUGAGCAUUUCUAUAUUUUAAAAAAAUCGUCGUUGGCAGGAAAUUCGAGAUUAUAUGCUCAGCUCAAUAUUGUUGUUGUUGCUGUUUUUCGAUUCUAUUCAUUUAAUAUUUAACAUUGUAUGUUAUAUAAAUAUAAUAUGCGUAUCAUUUUUUUGUAUAAAUACUAAUGUCUUAAAUUGUAAAACAUUUGAUUAAAAAUUAUGUACACUA
Long non-coding RNA from Ruditapes philippinarum (Manila clam), 1777 nucleotides. RefSeq lists it as uncharacterized. NCBI's taxonomy places the organism in Eukaryota, Metazoa, Mollusca, Bivalvia, Venerida, Veneridae. The record is from RefSeq and is a predicted model, not a curated record. The transcript is spliced from 2 exons.